UACAGAGGUCCCGAGCGUUGUUCGGAUUCAUUGGGCGUAAAGGGUGCGUAGGUGGCGCUGUAAGUGGGGUGUGAAAUCCCGGGGCUUAACCCCGGGACUGCAUUCCAUACUGCGGUGCUUGAGGACUGGAGAGGAGACUGGAAUUUACGGUGUAGCAGUGAAAUGCGUAGAGAUCGUAAGGAAGACCAGUGGCGAAGGCGGGUCUCUGGACAGGUUCCUGACACUGAGGCACGAAGGCCAGGGGAGCAAACGGG
This 254-nucleotide ribosomal RNA is filed under the name uncultured bacterium. Its description in RNAcentral is "partial 16S ribosomal RNA". It matches the Rfam family "Bacterial small subunit ribosomal RNA", at positions 524 to 776 of the family's 1533-position model. The record is from RNAcentral.